Molecule: ribosomal RNA, 1018 nt
Filed under: uncultured bacterium
Lineage: Bacteria
Description: bacterial SSU rRNA
Rfam family: Bacterial small subunit ribosomal RNA
Source: RNAcentral
CCUACGGGAGGCAGCAGUGGGGAAUAUUGCACAAUGGGCGCAAGCCUGAUGCAGCAACGCCGCGUGCGGGAUGACGGCCUUCGGGCUGUAAACCGCUUUCAGUUCCGACGAAGCGCAAGCGACGGUAGGAACAGAAGAAGGACCGGCCAACUACGUGCCAGCAGCCGCGGUGAUACGUAGGGUCCGAGCGUUGUCCGGAAUUAUUGGGCGUAAGGGGCUUGUAGGCGGUUUGUCACGUCGGAAGUGAAAACUCAGGGCUUAACCCUGAGCCUGCUUCUGAUACGGGCAAACUAGAGGAAUGCAGGGGAGAAUGGAAUUCCUGGUGGAGCGGUGGAAUGCGCAGAUAUCAGGAGGAACACCGGUGGCGAAGGCGGUUCUCUGGGCAUUUCCUGACGCUGAGAAGCGAAAGCGUGGGGAGCAAACAGGCUUAGAUACCCUGGUAGUCCACGCCGUAAACGGUGGGCACUAGGUGUGGGGAACAUUCCACGUUCUCCGUGCCGAGGCUAACGCAUUAAGUGUCCCGCCUGGGGAGUACGGCCGCAAGGCUAAAACUCAAAGGAAUUGACGGGGGCCCGCACAAGCGGCGGAGCAUGCGGAUUAAUUCGAUGCAACGCGAAGAACCUUACCUGGGUUUGACAUAUACCGGAAAGCUGCAGAGAUGUAGCCCCCGCAAGGUCGGUAUACAGGUGGUGCAUGGCUGUCGUCAGCUCGUGUCGUGAGAUGUUGGGUUAAGUCCCGCAACGAGCGCAACCCUCGUCCUAUGUUGCCAGCGGAUAAUGCCGGGGACUCAUAGGAGACUGCCGGGGUCAACUCGGAGGAAGGUGGGGGAUGACGUCAAGUCAUCAUGCCCCUUAAGUCCAGGGCUUCACGCAUGCUACAAUGGCUGGUACAAAGGGCUGCGAUACCGCAAGGUCGAGCGAAUCCCAAAAGCAGUCUCAGUUCGGAUUGGGGUCUGCACUCGACCCAUGAAGUCGGAGUCGCUAGUAAUCGCAGAUCAGCACGUCGCGUGAUACGUCCC